GACGAACGCUGGCGGCGUGCCUAAUACAUGCAAGUAGAACGCUGAAGGAGGAGCUUGCUUCUCUGGAUGAGUUGCGAACGGGUGAGUAACGCGUAGGUAACCUGCCUGGUAGCGGGGGAUAACUAUUGGAAACGAUAGCUAAUACCGCAUAAGAGUAGAUGUUGCAUGACAUUUGCUUAAAAGGUGCAAUUGCAUCACUACCAGAUGGACCUGCGUGGUAUUAGGUAGUUGGUGGGGUAACGGCCCACCAAGGCGACGAUACAUAGCCGACCUGAGAGGGGGGUCGGCCAACCUGGGACUGAGACACGGCCCAGACUCCUACGGGAAGCAGCAGUAGGGAAUCUUCGGCAAUGGACGGAAGUCUGACCGGGCAACGCCGCGUGAGUGAAGAAGGUUUUCGGAUCGUAAAGCUCUGUUGUAAGAGAAGAACGAGUGUGAGAGUGGAAAGUUCACACUGUGACGGUAUCUUACCAGAAAGGGACGGCUAACUACGUG
RNAcentral lists this ribosomal RNA (495 nucleotides) under uncultured bacterium. RNAcentral's name for it is "partial 16S ribosomal RNA". It matches the Rfam family "Bacterial small subunit ribosomal RNA", at positions 28 to 507 of the family's 1533-position model. The record is from RNAcentral.